This 236-nucleotide ribosomal RNA is filed under the name uncultured Staphylococcus sp. Its description in RNAcentral is "partial 16S ribosomal RNA". It matches the Rfam family "Bacterial small subunit ribosomal RNA", at positions 104 to 334 of the family's 1533-position model. The record is from RNAcentral. Lineage: Bacteria; Bacillati; Bacillota; Bacilli; Caryophanales; Staphylococcaceae.
GGGUGAGUAACACGUGGAUAACCUACCUAUAAGACUGGGAUAACUUCGGGACACCGGAGCUAAUACCGGAUAAUAUUUUGAACCGCAUGGUUCAAAAGUGAAAGACGGUCUUGCUGUCACUUAUAGAUGGAUCCGCGCCGCAUUAGCUAGUUGGUAAGGUAACGGCUUACCAAGGCAACGAUGCAUAGCCGACCUGAGAGGGUGAUCGGCCACACUGGAACUGAGACACGGUCCAG